RNAcentral lists this ribosomal RNA (492 nucleotides) under uncultured bacterium. Its description in RNAcentral is "partial 16S ribosomal RNA". It matches the Rfam family "Bacterial small subunit ribosomal RNA", at positions 29 to 507 of the family's 1533-position model. The record is from RNAcentral.
AGUGAACGCUGGCGGUGGGCCUAACACAUGCAAGUCGAACGGCAGCACAGUAAGAGCUUGUUCUUACGGGUGGCGAGUGGCGGACGGGUGAGGAAUACAUCGGAAUCUACUUUUUCGUGGGGGAUAACGUAGGGAAACUUACGCUAAUACCGCAUACGACCUACGGGUGAAAGCAGGGGAUCUUCGGACCUUGCGCGAUUGAAUGAGCCGAUGUCGGAUUAGCUAGUUGGCGGGGUAAAGGCCCACCAAGGCGACGAUCCGUAGCUGGUCUGAGGGGAUGAUCAGCCACACUGGAACCGAGACACGGUCCAGACUCCUACGGGAGGCAGCAGUGGGGAAUAUUGGACAAUGGGCGCAAGCCUGAUCCAGCCAUACCGCGUGGGUGAAGAAGGCCUUCGGGUUGUAAAGCCCUUUUGUUGGGAAAGAAAAGCAGCAGGUUAAUACCCCGCUGUUCUGACGGUACCCAAAGAAUAAGCACCGGCUAACUUCGUG